RNAcentral lists this non-coding RNA (743 nucleotides) under Schistosoma japonicum. The record is from RNAcentral. Lineage: Eukaryota; Metazoa; Platyhelminthes; Trematoda; Strigeidida; Schistosomatidae.
UAUACAAUUUAACCCUGGUUGAAGUUGAAAUAUAUCUAAUGAUGCUAUAUACGUUUAUUAUAUUAUGCUAAUCCUUGAGCAUAUAAAUUUGAGGUGGUUGUAGUAGUGAGAUCUAUCGUUAUAAAGAAAUUUAGUGAUGGUUGUUAGAUAGUAGAAGAGGCUAAAGCACAGUGCCAGCAGCCGCGGUUAUACUGUAAUUCUUCUUAUUUCUUUUUUGGUUAAAACUUUUAUUGAAAUUUAAAUAAAAUUGGUUGGUUAAAUAGGUUUUUUUUUGAGAAUACUUCAAUGAUGUGUAAAGUUCCAGUAUAAAGACAGGGAUUAGAUACCCCUUUAUUAGGAUAAAAAAUUUUGUCCACGGUUUCAAACUGAAAGGGUUUGGCAGCAAACUAAAUUCUUCCGGGGGAAGGUGCUUAUUAAAGAGAUGAUCCGCUUAUUAAUUUACUAUAUCUAGUGUUAGUGUAUAUCCGUUUGUAUAUUCACGCUUAGAGGUCAUAAGUGGGUAAAUAUUAAAUAAUUUAAGGCAGGUCUAUAUGCUGCUAAUGGUAUAGGUUGUUGUGCGUUACAAUAAAAAGUUUAAAUACUGAAAUGUAUUUUUAUUUUGGGACUCGGAAGUAGGAAUGUAAAUAGUAUGUCAUUUCGAAGGUUGAAAUAGUUUGGGUACACAUCGCCCGACAAUCUCGAUGCGUAAUUGAGUUAAGUCGUAACAUGGUAGUGCUUGAAGAAUCAGGCGCUAGAAUCUGUAU